This is a long non-coding RNA of Dreissena polymorpha, 4214 nucleotides long. RefSeq lists it as uncharacterized. The transcript is spliced from 2 exons. Lineage: Eukaryota; Metazoa; Mollusca; Bivalvia; Myida; Dreissenidae. The record is from RefSeq and is a predicted model, not a curated record.
AAUUAUUCUCGGUUUGAUAAAUACGGUAUAGUAUGGUUUAUUACGUGUUAUUUAGAAGAGAGAUUAUGGUAAUGGUUUAGCGCGAAUAAUGCACGGGUUUUGUGUGCAUGUUUUAGCGCGAAAGUGCACGAGUUUUUCGUUUUGGGGUAUAUAUGAUUUACACAUCUAUUGAGUCGCCAUUCGAGGGUGUAUUUGACAGGCAAACGUUAUGGAACAAGAAAACGAAAGGGUGAUAAAGUAGUUUAGGCGUUCAUUUGCGAAAUACAUAGUAUUCGGAAGAAGAUUUUCGAUGAGAGGACUGAUUCUCUGCUAGAAGCGGAAUGGUGAGCUGGAACUUCGAACAAAGGUCAGACUUGUUGGUUCUGUUUAUUGUAAUAACACUGGCAACAACAUUCCGAUUGAAAUUAACACAGGUUGUUUUCCUUGUUAACUUUUAUGAUAAGUAUAUUCAAUAACAUGCUCCAUAUCUUUAUUUGUGCUGUUGUUUUUGUUUAGUGCAAACUAUUCAGAUACAUCAAUUGAUUUGAUUAUUGGGUAAAAAUGAAACUAUUUAAGUCCAAAAAGAGGUCGCAAAUGUAAUGGUCUGGUAGGAUUAUAUAUAGGUAAGGCCACAUAGUGUGUCACUCCAGGUUGUUUUGAUAGCAGUGUUAGAUCACUCUCCCUCAUGUUUUUACGAACACCUUGCUUUAUUUUUUAUUGUUUUUAAGAUAUAACACCUUAUAUGGUAAUACAUGUGUUACAAGUUUGUGUAUUAGUUCCAAACGUAUAAUUCAACAAACGAUUAAUAACAAUUAACUGCCGUUUUCCUUAUAAUUCAGCACGAUGGUUGUGUGCGAUAUAUGACGUGGUAUGAUAAUGAGCGGAUGAAAAUUUAUGCGAACAUAUCUUUAAACUAUUCAGGUUUUCCAAUUGUGAAUUAAGAAUUUAACAUCAAAAAUCGAUACAUUACGGAAAUAUAUAUUCUAUUCAUCUAUGAAACAGCUAUAGAGACUUGUCUUGUAAACUUUUUUCGAAACAUGUUUGUGUUUUGCAUAUAUUACAUCUCGUUCGCUGGAAAUUGAAUAAACAGUUUAUAUGUUAUUGUUGUAUACAAUUAAAUAAAAAUUCUCUAAAUUGAAUUAAAUAUUAAGAGUUAUUAUAUUUUUCAUAAUAAUUUAAGACGUUAAGUUUUCCCUGCAAGGUUGGUGUCAAUAAUGGUGCAUGCAUAUGUGCUAAUCAAUUUACGAUAUUUUGGAUAAAUUGUGGUAUAAAUUUGGUUUGAAAAGAGCGUUGACAAUAAGACUGUUGUUUUAAACUUAGAUGAAAGGCAUUUAUCGGUUUUGUUAAAUUUAGUUUCGUCAUAGAUAAAUGCAUUUUUAAAGAUUAGGUACUGUAAUGAUAACAAAAGUAGACCGGAUUUAUUUGCAAUAUAAGUCAUUUUGUUUUCGUGAUAGUUUUUGUUCUUGUUUGGUGGCCUGUUGGCUUGAUGUGUAAAGACAUUUUGCUUUUAUGGUGUUUGGCCGUUUUUUGAAUGCCAGUUUACAUGUGUAAUUUUCUUAUCGUUUUGGUAAAAGCCAGUUGACCAGAUGUGGAUAAACCCAGUUAGCGCGUGUAGUUUGUUAACCAAACUUAUUAAAACGUGCGUUUACAUUUACAUUUUUGUUUUUAUUUAAUGUUAAGAUUGUACUGUUCGAAGGAUAUUAUAUAUAUUGGAGAACAUUAAAUGUAUGUUAUUAAGGUCCAGAUUGGCUUAUGUAAAUUAACCGGUUGGCUCGGGUUGUCCGUUGACAGUUUGUUGAAAGCAGAUUUUUUCAGAUGCGUAUAAGCCAGUUUGCUUGCGUGUCAGUUCACUAAAAUGUCUCAAAACACAUGUUGAAAUUGCAUUUACACAUGUUUGCGAAGUUUAUUUUUUCAGAAGCCGGACAGUUCGAAGAAUAAAUAAUGAAUAGUGUAACAUUAUAGUAAGAGGGAAGCUCGAAAGGUAUAAUUUGUUUUUGUUUUUUGUGUGUGUGUAAUUAUGUGUUAGAAAAUAACUUGUUAAGAUUAAUAAUGAUGAUUUUAUUGAUGAUGAUGUUAUAAAUGUUGAUGAUGAUGCUAACGUUAUUGAUGAGGAGGAGGAAUAGUUGACCGUAUUUUGUGAAUGGAUAAUACUACAUUAACGAAUUUUGAGUGAAUGAAUUUAUUUUAGGUUUGAUAAAUACCGAAUGAUGUUGGUCUAUACAUAUUAUUUAGAAGAGAAAGAGAGUAUGGUUAUGGUUUAGCACGUAAAAAUGAAUGAGUUUCUAGGUUUUGCGUUUAAUUGAACAAAAACAAGUAAAGAUUCAGCAACAGGGAUUAUUCUCAGAUGGUACAUGUUUCCUUUUAGAGUCACAGAAAUUCAACUUUGCAUCAAUAGCGGUUUUCUUUGAGAUUUGUUUGAUGGGUAAAAAUUCCAAAAAUUGAUGAGUUUUGCAGCCGACCAAGUACCUAUAGCUUUGUAUUUGUGUGUGUUAAGCAUUUUGUUGUUUUCAAAUUAGUAAAUCAAAAUUAAUACAGUGUUCUAGUAUAUCAAUUGAGCUUAUGCUAUUGCCAUGGAAUUUUGAGCCAGGGUUCGAUCAGUAGCUGAAAGUAUGUCUGUGUUGGUGAAUUGAACCUAAAAACAAAUGUCAAGUCGGUAGUUUUAAUUUUAAGAGCAGAACAUACGUAUUGAUUGUGAGAACAUUAGUAAAAUGUGUUUGGUAUUUGUGCAUGUCUCUUGUGGUCAUUGGACCAAGUUGUUUAAGGUCAAUUGGCCUGAUUUUGAAAGCCACUUGGCUUGUAUGGUCAGUUGACCGCUUUUAAAGCCAGUCUAUAUGAUGUGUGAAAGCCUGUUGGCUUGUGUUGUCAGGUUACCGAACUUUCUUAAAACGAAAGUCUCAUAGAAUUAACAAUAUUUGCAAGUUUAUUGUUUGCAAUGCAGUAACUGGACAGUUCGAAUAGUAUAUUAAGUAUUGAAGAACAUAAAGGUAUGGUUUAUGUAGUAUGUUAUUAUUAUUACUAGGAGUGUUAUGAUGUAUUUUAUUUGGGUGCAUUUGGAGAAUUGCAAAGCCGGUAGUUAAAAAAGAGCCUAUUACAUCAGAUAUAUUAAAGAAAUUUUAUCACACUUUUGUUUCUGAGGGCGAUUGUUCUUUGGGGUAUUUAAGAGACGUUACAAUCUUUUUCUUAUCUUAUGCUGGUUUUUUAGGAUAAGUGAAAUUUUGUCUGUUAAAAUAUCAGAUGUUGUAUUUUUAGAUACGCAUUGUGAUAUUAAAGUUGAAAAGUCAAAAACGGACAUUUUAAGAGAGAGUAAUACUGUUCUGAUUGCAAAAACUAAUACAGACACAUCUGUGAAAUUGUUUGAAAAGUAUUUGUGUGUUGCAGAUAUUGCAUGUUCAUCUACUGAUUAUGUGUUUAGACCAGUUUAUUUGUGUAAUGUUAAACACUGUUUCAAAUUGAUUUCUAAUAAUAAGCAUAUAAGUUAUUCUACUAUAAAUGAUAGUUUUAAGAAGAAGUUAAGUCUAUUGGGUUAUGUUUCUUCUAAAUAUGAACUUCAUUAUUUUCGUGCUGGUGGAGCAUCUAUAAGUGCCAAUAAUAAGACUGUGGAUAGACUUUGGCAAAGACAUGGUAGAUGAAAAAGUGUUUCCACUAAGAACGGAUAUGUUAAAGAUUCUUUGAAAGACAGAUUAUCGGUGUCGCUAAAUUUAGAUUUGUGAAAAGUCAUUAUUAAUGUAUGUGUGAUUUGAAAUGUAUGAUGUGUUGUUCGUAGCACAUUUAAAGACACUAUAAUAUAUUAUUAUAUAAAUAAUUUGGAAAUGCUUUUGAGUAUUAUUAAGUUCUGUGUUUGUGUUGUGUGUAUGUUCCUUGUGGUCAUUGGACCAAUUUGUUUACGGCCAUUUGGCCUCAUUUGGUAAGCCAUUUGGCUUGUAUGGUCAGUUGACCGUUUUUUAAAGCAAGUUGAUCUGAUGUGUGAAAGCCGGUUGGCUUUUGUGAGUUGACCUUAUUUUCUUAAAAAGCAUGUUCACAUGGAAUUAACAAUCUUUGCAAGUUUAUUUUUUGCAGUGCAGUAACUGGACAGUACGAAUGGUAUAUUAAGUAUUGGAGAACAUAAAGUUAAAACACAGUUCGAGAGGUAUAUAACGUGGUGGAGAAUAUUUGGGUAUUCAUUUUAUGUUUCAUAUUAUUUGUAUUCUCUCUUUGUUUUAUUCGAAAGUCCUGUCAAAUACAAGCACUCACUCCUA